AACGAACGCUGGCGGCAGGCUUAACACAUGCAAGUCGAACGGGCCCUUCGGGGUCAGUGGCCGACGGGUGAGUAACGCGUGGGAACGUGCCCUUCAGUUCGGGAUAACCCAGGGAAACUUGGGCUAAUACCGGAUACGUGCGAGAGCAGAAAGAUUUAUCGCUGAAGGAUCGGCCCGCGUCUGAUUAGCUGGUUGGUGGGGUAAUGGCCCACCAAGGCGACGAUCAGUAGCUGGUCUGAGAGGAUGAUCAGCCACAUUGGGACUGAGACACGGCCCAAACUCCUACGGGAGGCAGCAGUGGGGAAUAUCGGACAAUGGGCGCAGGCCUGAUCCAGCCAUGCCGCGUGAGUGAUGACGGCCUUAGGGUUGUAAAGCUCUUUCGCACGCGACGAUAAUGACGGUAGCGUGAGAAGAAGCCCCGGCUAACUUCGUGCCAGCCGCCGCCGUAA
Molecule: ribosomal RNA, 449 nt
Filed under: uncultured bacterium
Lineage: Bacteria
Description: partial 16S ribosomal RNA
Rfam family: Bacterial small subunit ribosomal RNA
Source: RNAcentral